GAUGAACGCUGGCGGCGUGCCUAAUACAUGCAAGUCGAACGAAACUUCUUUAUCACCGAGUGCUUGCACUCACCGAUAAAGAGUUGAGUGGCGAACGGGUGAGUAACACGUGGGCAACCUGCCCAAAAGAGGGGGAUAACACUUGGAAACAGGUGCUAAUACCGCAUAACCAUAGUUACCGCAUGGUAACUAUGUAAAAGGUGGCUAUACUACCGCUUUUGGAUGGGCCCGCGGCGCAUUAGCUAGUUGGUAGGGUAAAGGCUUACCAAGGCAAUGAUGCGUAGCCGAAUUGAGAGGGUGAUCGGCCACAUUGGGACUGAGACACGGCCCAAACUCCUACGGGAGGCAGCAGUAGGGAAUCUUCCACAAUGGGCGAAAGCCUGAUGGAGCAACGCCGCGUGGGUGAAGAAGGUCUUCGGAUCGUAAAACCCUGUUGUUAGAGAAGAAAGUGCGUGAGAGUAACUGUUCACGUUUCGACGGUAUCUAACCAGAAAGCCACUGCUAACUACGUG
Molecule: ribosomal RNA, 512 nt
Filed under: uncultured bacterium
Lineage: Bacteria
Description: partial 16S ribosomal RNA
Rfam family: Bacterial small subunit ribosomal RNA
Source: RNAcentral